Molecule: ribosomal RNA, 2904 nt
Filed under: Escherichia coli
Lineage: Bacteria; Pseudomonadati; Pseudomonadota; Gammaproteobacteria; Enterobacterales; Enterobacteriaceae
Description: 23S ribosomal RNA
Rfam family: Bacterial large subunit ribosomal RNA
Source: RNAcentral
GGUUAAGCGACUAAGCGUACACGGUGGAUGCCCUGGCAGUCAGAGGCGAUGAAGGACGUGCUAAUCUGCGAUAAGCGUCGGUAAGGUGAUAUGAACCGUUAUAACCGGCGAUUUCCGAAUGGGGAAACCCAGUGUGAUUCGUCACACUAUCAUUAACUGAAUCCAUAGGUUAAUGAGGCGAACCGGGGGAACUGAAACAUCUAAGUACCCCGAGGAAAAGAAAUCAACCGAGAUUCCCCCAGUAGCGGCGAGCGAACGGGGAGCAGCCCAGAGCCUGAAUCAGUGUGUGUGUUAGUGGAAGCGUCUGGAAAGGCGCGCGAUACAGGGUGACAGCCCCGUACACAAAAAUGCACAUGCUGUGAGCUCGAUGAGUAGGGCGGGACACGUGGUAUCCUGUCUGAAUAUGGGGGGACCAUCCUCCAAGGCUAAAUACUCCUGACUGACCGAUAGUGAACCAGUACCGUGAGGGAAAGGCGAAAAGAACCCCGGCGAGGGGAGUGAAAAAGAACCUGAAACCGUGUACGUACAAGCAGUGGGAGCACGCUUAGGCGUGUGACUGCGUACCUUUUGUAUAAUGGGUCAGCGACUUAUAUUCUGUAGCAAGGUUAACCGAAUAGGGGAGCCGAAGGGAAACCGAGUCUUAACUGGGCGUUAAGUUGCAGGGUAUAGACCCGAAACCCGGUGAUCUAGCCAUGGGCAGGUUGAAGGUUGGGUAACACUAACUGGAGGACCGAACCGACUAAUGUUGAAAAAUUAGCGGAUGACUUGUGGCUGGGGGUGAAAGGCCAAUCAAACCGGGAGAUAGCUGGUUCUCCCCGAAAGCUAUUUAGGUAGCGCCUCGUGAAUUCAUCUCCGGGGGUAGAGCACUGUUUCGGCAAGGGGGUCAUCCCGACUUACCAACCCGAUGCAAACUGCGAAUACCGGAGAAUGUUAUCACGGGAGACACACGGCGGGUGCUAACGUCCGUCGUGAAGAGGGAAACAACCCAGACCGCCAGCUAAGGUCCCAAAGUCAUGGUUAAGUGGGAAACGAUGUGGGAAGGCCCAGACAGCCAGGAUGUUGGCUUAGAAGCAGCCAUCAUUUAAAGAAAGCGUAAUAGCUCACUGGUCGAGUCGGCCUGCGCGGAAGAUGUAACGGGGCUAAACCAUGCACCGAAGCUGCGGCAGCGACGCUGAUGCGUUGUUGGGUAGGGGAGCGUUCUGUAAGCCUGCGAAGGUGUGCUGUGAGGCAUGCUGGAGGUAUCAGAAGUGCGAAUGCUGACAUAAGUAACGAUAAAGCGGGUGAAAAGCCCGCUCGCCGGAAGACCAAGGGUUCCUGUCCAACGUUAAUCGGGGCAGGGUGAGUCGACCCCUAAGGCGAGGCCGAAAGGCGUAGUCGAUGGGAAACAGGUUAAUAUUCCUGUACUUGGUGUUACUGCGAAGGGGGGACGGAGAAGGCUAUGUUGGCCGGGCGACGGUUGUCCCGGUUUAAGCGUGUAGGCUGGUUUUCCAGGCAAAUCCGGAAAAUCAAGGCUGAGGCGUGAUGACGAGGCACUACGGUGCUGAAGCAACAAAUGCCCUGCUUCCAGGAAAAGCCUCUAAGCAUCAGGUAACAUCAAAUCGUACCCCAAACCGACACAGGUGGUCAGGUAGAGAAUACCAAGGCGCUUGAGAGAACUCGGGUGAAGGAACUAGGCAAAAUGGUGCCGUAACUUCGGGAGAAGGCACGCUGAUAUGUAGGUGAAGUCCCUCGCGGAUGGAGCUGAAAUCAGUCGAAGAUACCAGCUGGCUGCAACUGUUUAUUAAAAACACAGCACUGUGCAAACACGAAAGUGGACGUAUACGGUGUGACGCCUGCCCGGUGCCGGAAGGUUAAUUGAUGGGGUCAGCGCAAGCGAAGCUCUUGAUCGAAGCCCCGGUAAACGGCGGCCGUAACUAUAACGGUCCUAAGGUAGCGAAAUUCCUUGUCGGGUAAGUUCCGACCUGCACGAAUGGCGUAAUGAUGGCCAGGCUGUCUCCACCCGAGACUCAGUGAAAUUGAACUCGCUGUGAAGAUGCAGUGUACCCGCGGCAAGACGGAAAGACCCCGUGAACCUUUACUAUAGCUUGACACUGAACAUUGAGCCUUGAUGUGUAGGAUAGGUGGGAGGCUUUGAAGUGUGGACGCCAGUCUGCAUGGAGCCGGCCUUGAAAUACCACCCUUUAAUGUUUGAUGUUCUAACGUUGACCCGUAAUCCGGGUUGCGGACAGUGUCUGGUGGGUAGUUUGACUGGGGCGGUCUCCUCCUAAAGAGUAACGGAGGAGCACGAAGGUUGGCUAAUCCUGGUCGGACAUCAGGAGGUUAGUGCAAUGGCAUAAGCCAGCUUGACUGCGAGCGUGACGGCGCGAGCAGGUGCGAAAGCAGGUCAUAGUGAUCCGGUGGUUCUGAAUGGAAGGGCCAUCGCUCAACGGAUAAAAGGUACUCCGGGGAUAACAGGCUGAUACCGCCCAAGAGUUCAUAUCGACGGCGGUGUUUGGCACCUCGAUGUCGGCUCAUCACAUCCUGGGGCUGAAGUAGGUCCCAAGGGUAUGGCUGUUCGCCAUUUAAAGUGGUACGCGAGCUGGGUUUAGAACGUCGUGAGACAGUUCGGUCCCUAUCUGCCGUGGGCGCUGGAGAACUGAGGGGGGCUGCUCCUAGUACGAGAGGACCGGAGUGGACGCAUCACUGGUGUUCGGGUUGUCAUGCCAAUGGCACUGCCCGGUAGCUAAAUGCGGAAGAGAUAAGUGCUGAAAGCAUCUAAGCACGAAACUUGCCCCGAGAUGAGUUCUCCCUGACUCCUUGAGAGUCCUGAAGGAACGUUGAAGACGACGACGUUGAUAGGCCGGGUGUGUAAGCGCAGCGAUGCGUUGAGCUAACCGGUACUAAUGAACCGUGAGGCUUAACCUU